Molecule: ribosomal RNA, 394 nt
Filed under: uncultured Gammaproteobacteria bacterium
Lineage: Bacteria; Pseudomonadati; Pseudomonadota; Gammaproteobacteria
Description: bacterial SSU rRNA
Rfam family: Bacterial small subunit ribosomal RNA
Source: RNAcentral
AAUGGGCGAAAGCCUGACGGAGCAACGCCGCGUGAGGGAUGAAGGCCUCUGGGCUGUAAACUUCUUUUAUCAAGGAAGAAGAUCUGACGGUACUUGAUGAAUAAGCCACGGCUAAUUCCGUGCCAGCAGCCGCGGUAAUACGGGAGUGGCAAGCGUUAUCCGGAAUUAUUGGGCGUAAAGCGUCCGCAGGCGGCCCUUCAAGUCUGCUGUUAAAAAGUGGAGCUUAACUCCAUCAUGGCAGUGGAAACUGUUGGGCUUGAGUGUGGUAGGGGCAGAGGGAAUUCCCGGUGUAGCGGUGAAAUGCGUAGAUAUCGGGAAGAACACCAGUGGCGAAGGCGCUCUGCUGGGCCAUCACUGACGCUCAUGGACGAAAGCCAGGGGAGCGAAAGGGAUU